GUUGACUCAAGAUUGUGACUCAGAUCGAGUAACCUAAGACACAGUGGAUCAUGAAGACAGAGGGGGAGACUGAGGAACAAAACAAAAAAGUCUGUCACUCCACUCUGUCCGUACAUACUUCAGUGUCUGUGAUCAACUCAGUCAGGCACUGUCUCAGCUCUCUCACAAGUCUGUGCCGAUGCCUAAGUUCUAAACAGACCAACCAGUGUGUCAGGAAAACAGUGUCCUUACACACAAUGAGAGGGAGAGAACGAACACUAAAUGUUCAAACUACGCAAAAUGGUUCAGAGUGAUUUUUUUUUCUAUGGGGAAAAGAGAGAGUUCUGUCAGCUAACUCUCCACUCUCUUGGUCAGUCGUUCAGCAGAAAAACGGAUCGAUAAAGAGUUGAAGCUCUUCGUGCCAAGUGACUCCUUGUAAAUGGGUACUUAAACUUUUUCUUUUUUUUCCCCCCUUUUUUUUCGUGGGCUGCAAUGAGGAAGCCAAACGGGUUUGGUGUUUAAAGUGAGAAAAUGAAAGCCGUGCUUCCUAAUGUGCUGUCUAAGUGGAUGUCUCUGUGUCUGAUGAAGCAUGAAGUGCUCUGUAACCCUAACAAAAUGACUAUCACUGUGUUCCUGUGGUUUUAAAAGGCUUUUUCCUCAGUGUCACUAUCUCUACCUCCAUCUUGCUCAGUAUGAAAUAGGAAGGCGAAAUGGAGGCCAUCCAUAAAUGCAGUAAUUGCAUGAAGGGCAGGUGUUUAUUGAAGUCUCAGACCUCAUACGGUGUAAUGAUCCAAAAGGUCAAAUUGUUAAUGGUGCUUUGACUUAAUAUUUCACUCUGUCUGCACCGACUAGUGUAAAAAGCUAGGCCAUAUGCAGAAGUUUGUUUCCCUUUCCAAAUAUUUGCUCCUAAUUGACAUUCUGUCAUCGGUGUCUCUUAAAUAUCCUGAAAUGCUCAAACUAAUUCUGUUAUUGCUAACUUAACAAUGUGCCUGCAAGGACCAGAUAUUCACAGUGACUGACAGUGUUUUCAAUCGCUCUUCUUUGGACAUGUUUAUGUUUUUACACCAUUAAAACACAGUGGAUACAUUUUCAAUAUUGAGAAACAAAUAAGGACUUUGUGACGGUAAAAGCAAGUCUGUACAAAUUUAUAGAUUAUUGGACAGAAAAAUAAAUCCAAGUCACAGACUGCAGCAGGUUUUCCAUUAGGAUUUCUGAGUUUUGCUGCAUUCAAUUUACAGUCUACCUUCACAAGCAAUAAAGCUGCUGCAGCGAAGCAUCUCCGCAGCAUGAUGUAGCCACCAUUUACGGAGAUGCCGUGUUUCUGGCGGUGAGGAGCGAUAUACAGAGGCCAAUAUAGAGAUAAAAUUUAAAAACGCUACUUCCAGUUGGAGUCUUCCACUUUUGUAUUUUUUUUUUCAGUACCAACAUUCUCUACAUUUGCCCAAUUUGGCUUCAUCUGCAGUGACCUCCAUGUCAGUCGUGCAGUUCUCAUUGGUCUCUUACUGCUCUUCCUCCCUAAUUGUUGUUCUAACACUGAGUGUGUAAUUACACACACUCUGGACAGAUUAGCAUUUCAUUUAUAACUGAUUGUAUUGCAUUUAAGACUAUUUCUUUACCGUUUUCUUACCAAUACUUUCGAAUGCCCAAUUUAUGUUUGCAGUAUUUGUAAUGUUAAUAAAACAUGAAAUAGCAGGAUAAAUACUUGGUAUAGGUGCUCUACGUUCUUUAAUAACAAUUAUGAUCUGUAGUGUGAAGAGGCUUUUCUAACUAUUAUAUGUCAAAAUUGUAUCUGAUUGUAUUGUCAGUAGAUUGACCUAAAAAAAUAGGUUAUUUUAGUUUAGUUAGUUCUAGUCUUUGAGAUGUUGUAAUGCAGACAAGGUCUAAUAAUUUGUCAAAUCACAAUCCAAAUGUCUUCUGUAAAAUGUCAGCGUUUAAUAUUCUUGUACCAUAAUGUCUUUCUGAAGAGAAAUCAAGAAAUUCUAAUUGCAAACUUAUUAAUUUUUGUGUGAGCAAACUACAGUGUAAUUUAUCUCCAUCUGCAUGUGGGUUUUCAGUUGGACCUUCAUUCCAACCCAGAAUAUUUUAAACAUUUCUGAAACCUUA
Long non-coding RNA from Acanthochromis polyacanthus (spiny chromis), 2082 nucleotides. RefSeq lists it as uncharacterized. Lineage: Eukaryota; Metazoa; Chordata; Actinopteri; Pomacentridae. The transcript is spliced from 2 exons. The record is from RefSeq and is a predicted model, not a curated record.